Portunus trituberculatus (swimming crab) is the source of this 716-nucleotide long non-coding RNA. RefSeq lists it as uncharacterized. The transcript is spliced from 2 exons. The record is from RefSeq and is a predicted model, not a curated record. NCBI's taxonomy places the organism in Eukaryota, Metazoa, Arthropoda, Malacostraca, Decapoda, Portunidae.
CCAUGAUAUCUACAAAAAUCUGUAAAGGCUUCUCUUUAUCUUUAUUUAUUUAUUUUUAUUUAUUAAUAUUGUUAUUACUAUUAUUAUUUUUUUCUUUAAUUAUUAUUGUUAUUUUUUUUUUUUCCUUUUUUUAGCUUAGACAAGGAUACGCAAGUCCGCUCAACGUUGACGGAAGAGGAAAAUAUUUGGGUCGAUCAAGGAAUGAAAACGUCGCCAUGUGUUACAUUAGAGUCCCAAGUCACGUGUCCUCGGGUGCUGCUAUUAGUACGCUAUUUACACUGGAGAUGAGUUCGUGACAUGAGUAUUGUUGCCACACACACACGCACAUUUAUCUCAUCAUAAAAAGUAACUCUGCACCAAUACAAAGCCAGCUUUUCCUACAAUCGCGGUAUAAAAGAAGGGACUGCCUCACCUCGGCUAGUCGGCAGUGACUGGCUAACGCAACGUAACGCUCUACGAGGCUCCACACACCACUCACCACCACCACACACACACGGCCACACUACCUGCUGCUGGUGUUCACGGUGGCUAGCAAGGGGGCAACGCACACACACCUGUUCGAGAUCUCUUGGCAUGUGGUGGACUGGUAGUUCGGUGAACGAGAAGAAAACAAGCUGCAGUCUACCUUCCCCGUGGCUGGAGUAAGGACAAACGAACAAAAGCAUAGUGACGAAGAAUCACAUUGACAUUACAGAAAACAAACACCUGAUUAUACU